This 870-nucleotide ribosomal RNA is filed under the name uncultured organism. Its description in RNAcentral is "bacterial SSU rRNA". It matches the Rfam family "Bacterial small subunit ribosomal RNA", at positions 1 to 920 of the family's 1533-position model. The record is from RNAcentral.
UAGAGUUUGAUCCUGGCUCAGGAUGAACGCUGGCGGUCUGCUUAACACAUGCAAGUCGAACGGAACCUUCGGGUUUAGUGGCGGACGGGUGAGUAAAGCGUGAGAAUCUGCCUCCAGGUCGGGGACAACAGCGGGAAACUGCUGCUAAUCCCGGAUGAGCCUAAGGGUAAAAGAUUUAUUGCCUGGAGAGGAGCUCGCGUCCGAUUAGCUAGUUGGUGAGGUAAGAGCUUACCAAGGCAACGAUCGGUAGCUGGUCUGAGAGGACGAUCAGCCACACUGGGACUGAGACACGGCCCAGACUCCUACGGGAGGCAGCAGUGGGGAAUUUUCCGCAAUGGGCGAAAGCCUGACGGAGCAAGACCGCGUGCGGGAGGAAGGCCCUUGGGUCGUAAACCGCUUUUCUUAGGGAAGAAGCUCUGACGGUACCUAAGGAAUCAGCCUCGGCUAACUCCGUGCCAGCAGCCGCGGUAAUACGGAGGAGGCAAGCGUUAUCCGGAAUUAUUGGGCGUAAAGCGUCCGCAGGCGGCUUACCAAGUCUGCUGUCAAAUACCAGAGCUCAACUCUGGGUCGGCGGUGGAAACUGGCAAGCUAGAGUACAGUAGGGGUAGAGGGAAUUCCCAGUGUAGCGGUGAAAUGCGUAGAGAUUGGGAAGAACACCGGUGGCGAAAGCGCUCUACUGGGCUGUAACUGACGCUGAGGGACGAAAGCUAGGGUAGCGAAAGGGAUUAGAUACCCCUGUAGUCUUAGCUGUAAACGAUGGAGACUAGGCGUGGCUUGUAUCGACCCGAGCCGUGCCGAAGCCCAACGCGUUAAGUCUCCCGCCUGGGGAGUACGCACGCAAGUGUGAAACUCAAAGGAAUUGACGGGGGC